This 497-nucleotide ribosomal RNA is filed under the name uncultured bacterium. Its description in RNAcentral is "partial 16S ribosomal RNA". It matches the Rfam family "Bacterial small subunit ribosomal RNA", at positions 28 to 507 of the family's 1533-position model. The record is from RNAcentral.
GAUGAACGCUGGCGGCGUGCCUAAUACAUGCAAGUCGAGCGAACGGACGAGAAGCUUGCUUCUCUGAUGUUAGCGGCGGACGGGUGAGUAACACGUGUAUAACCUACCUAUAAGACUGGGAUAACUUCGGGAAACCGGAGCUAAUACCGGAUAAUAUUUUGAACCGCAUGGUUCAAAAGUAAAAGACGGUCUUGCUGUCACUUAUAGAUGGAUCCGCGCUGCAUUAGCUAGUUGGUAAGGUAACGGCUUACCAAGGCAACGAUGCAUAGCCGACCUGAGAGGGUGAUAGGCCGCACGGGAACUGAGACACGGUCCAGACUCCUACGGGAGGCAGCAGUAGGGAAUCGUCCGCAAUGGGCGAAAGCCUGACGGAGCAACGCCGCGUGAGUGAUGAAGGUCUUCGGAUCGUAAAACUCUGUUAUUAGGGAAGAACAUAUGUGUAAGUAACUGUGCACAUCUUGACGGUACCUAAUCAGAAAGCCACGGCUAACUACGUG